UACUCCUACGGGAGGCAGCAGUGAGGAAUAUUGCGCAAUGGGGGCAACCCUGACGCAGCAACGCCGCGUGAGUGAGGAAGGUUUUCGGAUUGUAAAGCUCUGUCGAGCGGAAAGAAAUGCACGAUGGCUAAUAUCCAUCAUGCUUGACGGUACCGCUAGAGGAAGCACCGGCUAACUCCGUGCCAGCAGCCGCGGUAAUACGGGGGGUGCAAGCGUUGUUCGGAAUCAUUGGGCGUAAAGAGCGUGUAGGCGGCUGGACAAGUCAGAUGUGAAAUCCCUGGGCUUAACCCAGGAAGUGCAUUUGAAACUGUCUAGCUGGAGUAAGGGAGAGGAAAGUGGAAUUCCUGGUGUAGAGGUGAAAUUCGUAGAUAUCAGGAGGAACACCGGUGGCGAAGGCGACUUUCUGGCCCUAUACUGACGCUGAGACGCGAAAGCGUGGGUAGCAAACAGGAUUAGAUACCCUGGUAGUCA
RNAcentral lists this ribosomal RNA (471 nucleotides) under uncultured microorganism. RNAcentral describes it as "bacterial SSU rRNA". It matches the Rfam family "Bacterial small subunit ribosomal RNA", at positions 334 to 796 of the family's 1533-position model. The record is from RNAcentral.